GGACGAAGAAAACUAUGUCCCUCUCGCUGGUGCGGAACAAUUAUCUCAGGUGUUUGUAAAGGUACGACAAAGACAAAUAUAUAUUUGAGAUUGUGGUCAAAAGUAUAGGUGUUCCCUAUAAAAAUAUCACGGCAGGCCUUUAUCGGCCUAUCACGCACUGACGGUAAAAAAUAUCAACUCGGUGCGGGAGGAGGCCUAUUGUGGCCCGCCGUCCCAACAGGCUGUUGGCGGCCCGAUACCGCACAGAGCGCCCGCCUCGCCAGUUAGUGUUGGGCAAGCUAUCGGAACUGACGUACGUCACGUUUUUUUUAUUCCUUAAAAUUAAAGGCACGAUGUCAGGCAACAAAAGAAAGAUAAAUAUUUUGGAAAAUAAAUUAAUUUGCGGUGCAGAUAGUGAUAGUGACAGCAGUCAGGAGAUAUUUUCCUUCAAGAAAAAAAAAACCAAGCACAAGUGAGCAUAUUUACAGUUGCCCCACUGGAAGAAAAUUUCAUAUUCUCAAACCAGUCUCGUCUUUAAAUGAAACUAAUACCGGAAAUCAAGUAACACCUACGGCCGAUCAUAUCCUUGAGAUGAGCGGUAAACGGCGAAAUUGUGUAGGGUGCUAUGAAAAACUGCGGGAAACCAUGAAGAGUUCCGAGGUGAAAAGGAAAGUAAAAAAAAUUAAAACAUACUGCAGAAUAUGCAAGCAAAAUCUUUGUGCGAAAUGUUUUAAAGACAGCCAUUAAUAAAUAAUUAAAUAAACAAUUUUUAUUUCUUUACUUUAA
Bombyx mori (domestic silkworm) is the source of this 765-nucleotide long non-coding RNA. RefSeq lists it as uncharacterized. Lineage: Eukaryota; Metazoa; Arthropoda; Insecta; Lepidoptera; Bombycidae. The transcript has 3 exons. The record is from RefSeq and is a predicted model, not a curated record.